This is a long non-coding RNA of Prunus avium (sweet cherry), 498 nucleotides long. RefSeq lists it as uncharacterized. NCBI's taxonomy places the organism in Eukaryota, Viridiplantae, Streptophyta, Magnoliopsida, Rosales, Rosaceae. The record is from RefSeq and is a predicted model, not a curated record.
UUUUUUGGUGGUUGAAGGAGAUUGAAACUGAUUUUUCAAGUGUUUUCAGACCUGUAAUAGCAAAGGUCAUGGCUCAUGCCCAAUUGUAUCUCGUUCUUGAUUAUUUGAGGAGGUGGAAGGAUUUGGUUUGGGGUUUUGGACAGAGGACCAUUUGAGGAAGAUUGAUGACUUUGAGAAGAUCAAGCAACAAUUGGCAUAGUGCUUGGGAAUUCCACCAUAUUAGAUCAUAGUCCCUAUCCCACAAUGUUAAAGAUCAUGACCACAAAACUUGGAAUUACAAAGGCAUAGUACACAUGCAUUUUUCCAGUCGAAACCUAGUCUUAGAGUGGGGGAAUAAUAACUGCAGAACUUGGGUUUACCAAGGGCAAGAAUAUAUGGAGCUUGGCCUCCAAUCUUUGAGUGGAGAGUUCUUCACACGUUUAUGUCACUAUGUAAUGUGUACUUGAAUAAUUAGUACGCUUGUGUACUUUUGAAUGAGAGAAACUUUUAUUCAUGUCA